UGCGCAGGCGGGACUGCAAGGUUGGAUGUGAAAUCCGAGGCUCAACCUCGGAACUGCAUCCAAAACUGUGGUUCUUGAGUGGAGCAGAGGUAAGCGGAAUUCCGAGUGUAGCGGUGAAAUGCGUAGAUAUUCGGAGGAACACCAGUGGCGAAGGCGGCUUACUGGGCUCUAACUGACGCUGAGGCACGAAAGCAUGGGUAGCAAACA
This 207-nucleotide ribosomal RNA is filed under the name uncultured bacterium. Its description in RNAcentral is "partial 16S ribosomal RNA". It matches the Rfam family "Bacterial small subunit ribosomal RNA", at positions 568 to 774 of the family's 1533-position model. The record is from RNAcentral.